GGGGAUGACCGGUUUCGACGGGAAGCUCUUUUACAAAACUGCAAGCCAAGUUUGAUAAACACUUGUCAAAAGAUAUCAAAAACUAAAAGCAAAAGCAGAACUAUAAGCGGCGUCCUGAAGUCUGAUUCUCGAUCGGACCGAAUGGGUGUAAACCAAUUCGAGAUGCUUUACAGAUUUUAAUGGUUUAGAGAUCUGUGACUAAAGACAAAUAAAUCUUACUUUAGAAUUCCUGUUGGUUGGAUAAUUUUUAAAGGAAAUUUUAAAAAACUAAAUACGCUUGUAGAAGUUUUGUUAGGUAGUUUUUCGGAUGAGGGUUCGAUUCCCUCCAUCUCCACUU
This 337-nucleotide transfer-messenger RNA is filed under the name Patescibacteria group. Its description in RNAcentral is "UBA12026 sp000989765 Standard tmRNA". It matches the Rfam family "transfer-messenger RNA". From Rfam's summary of the family: Bacterial tmRNA, also known as 10Sa RNA or SsrA, is named for its dual tRNA and mRNA-like properties. Its role is to liberate the mRNA from a stalled ribosome. The record is from RNAcentral.